RNAcentral lists this long non-coding RNA (3132 nucleotides) under Sus scrofa (pig). Its description in RNAcentral is "lncRNA (ENSSSCG00035076087.1)". Lineage: Eukaryota; Metazoa; Chordata; Mammalia; Artiodactyla; Suidae. The record is from RNAcentral.
UUUUUUUUUUGGGGGGGGGGUGCACCUGUGGCAUGCAGAAAGAAGUUCCUGGGCUACUGAUUGAACCUUCACAACAGCAAUUACAACACUGGAUCCUUAAUUGCUAGGUCACCAGGGAACUCCUUCUGGUCUCUUAUUUAUUUAUGUUCUUCCUUGCAAUUUCCUUCCUUGUGCUACCUUAAGGCUGUUUGUUCUUUUUGUUGUUGUUGUUCCUGUAAGUGUAAAGUUAGGUUGUUUAUUUGAGAUCUUUCUUUUUUCUUAAUGUAGACAUUUAUCAUUGAAAAAUUUCCUCUUAGAACUGAUUUUACUGCAUCUCAUUAGCUUUGGUAUGUUUUAUUCUCCGUUUUCAUUUGUCUCAAGAUACUUUUUGACUCCUUCUUUGAUCCAUUGGUUGUUCAGGGGUGUGUUGUUUAGUGGGAUUGCCUCCAGGAUUGCAAUAAAACAAGACUGGAACUGAGUCAUGUGGCAACUGCUGGGUCCGCAGUGGUGUUUGUGAUUUUGCCAAGCCUUUUUUACCAUGAGCUUAGGUGGGCAUGGAUCCUGUUUGGUCUCUAAGUAGAUGACUCUAGGACCUUGGUCAGUAGGGCUGGUGCUGGGACAAGAGUCCACUUCAGGGUCUGUACUGGGUCUGCAGAGAGCUGGCCUGCUGUCAUGUACAGAUACAGGGGUGUCUUCUACCAGGUUUCUGGGAGAGAUCCUGCUGGAUAACUGGUCAGAUCCCUGAGCAUGCAGGAUUACUCUGGACCAUGGCUUAGAGUGGCUGGAACUGAGAUAAAAGGCUGCUGUAUGGUCCACAGCUGGAAUUGAAGUCUGCAGGCCUGCUUCCAGGAGCAUGGAUGGGUAUGCCUCCUGCUAGGUUCCUGGGUGAGUCCAGCUGCCCCUGGACCAUGGCUAAGCAGGAUGGGAGGCAUGUCCCCAGUGGCAGAUACAGGUGGGGGACCUCUCCUUCAGCCAUCUUAAUGGCCUAUAACUUUAAAAAAAUUAAAAUGUGUUCUUAAAUUUUAAAAUUAGUAUAAAUUUAAAAUUAUUUAAAUUGGAAAACAUAGAAAAAUAGAAGUACAGUAUAAAGGCAUUUUAAACAUCGUUGGUCUUCUCCAAUUUUGUGGUUCUGGAAAGUUUAUCUUACACAGUGGUGACUAAAUGGCUAGUUAUAAUAUCCUGCUUUUAUACUUCACACUCUAAAUAAAAUAAAUGUAUAACACAAAUGUUUUUCCAUAGUAUAAUAAACUCCUUAUAAAUAUCACUUGAAAUGGCAAUGCCAUCAUUUACUUAACCAUUCCUCAAUAUUUUUAAUUACUUCCAAAUUUUGUAGAAAAUUUUAUUUUUAUAAAAUAUAUAACUGUUUGUAAUAAAAAUUAUAGGUAUUUUAACUAUUUCUGUAGGAUAAAUUCUCUAGAAAUGGAAUUUCUAAGUUAUAGGGUGUAAAUAUUUUAAGGCUUUUGAUAUAUAGUUCUAAAUUUAGCUUGCAAUAUUAAUGUCUUUCUUCAAUGGAAAAUUAUAGUAAAUUUCAUGGAUUUUUAACUGAACAUGGAUAAAAUUUUACUGCAAAAACACUUUGAGGUUUGAGGGAAGGGUAUUAGCUAACAUAUGUUAAAAGCUGAGUAAUUGGAACUAAUAAGAAAAGUCAGUUUGAAUUUGUGACUAAUUCUUAACUAUAGACUACUUUAAGACAAUGUGCUUUUAUUGUUGUAGUCCAUAAAAUAAUAUCUAGACUAAUGAAAAGUUUAUGGUACUCGGAGUCUUUGGCUCCCAGUCAGGCAGACUCAGCUUUAAAAUCACACUCCACCACCUACCACCUGACCUUGGGCAAGUUUCUUAACUUCUUUGCCUUAUUUUCUGCAUCUGUUCAAUGAAGAUAAUGUUUGUUCUUACUUCUUAGGGUAAUUGUGAGCCUUAAAUAAAAUCAUGUGUUCAGAGUGCCAAGUAUCUUUAUCUAUUAUUAAACAAGAAUAAUUUUCAACGGAAUUCCUAGUCAGUUAGAGUUUCUGCACCGAUAAACAGAUCAGUUAAAAAGUUUUAAAUAAAUAAACCUAUAAUCAAUGAAGUUUCUUCUGUAAAUGAGCUAACAUUUUCCAUGAAAUUAUAUUUGCUGUAUUACCAACUUUAUAUAUAUAUAUAAUUUAUAUAUGUGUGUGUAUAUAUAUGUAUAUAUGUUGUAUAUGUAAAAAAAGCAAGCCAUAAGAAAAGCCUUUGUAUAAUUAAUACAAACAGUGAUGGAUUCUGAGUUAAUUAAAAGGUCUAUUUUUUUAUUUAUGGCUUUACUAUUUUUUAUUUUACAUUAGAGAGAAAAAAAGCUUGAUUUAAUGCUCUUCAUGUUUGGAAUAUGAAGAACAACAAUAAAAGCUAACUUCAAAAUUAAUGAAUAUACUUCAAAUAAGAUUCCAUCAAACAUAAAUACACUGAUAAUCUCAGUAUUUAUAACCUACAGCUAAGGGACAAAUAUAAAUGAAUCAUAUAAAAAAAAUCACUUAAUAUUUUUUCUAAGUUUCUCUGUAAGGAGCAAUUGAGGAAAAUUUUCUAGUGAAAAGCUGUCCCCCAGUGCAGAAGUGGGCACUGCAUUAGUAUGGGGGUGAGGCCAGUUCUGUUUCUACAGGCCAUUUUAUUUAUUUAUUUUGGCUGCGCCUAUGGCAUGUGGAAGUUCCUGGGCCAGGGUUUGAACCUGUGCCACAGCAGCGACCUGGGCUGCUGCAGAGACAGCACCGGAUACGUAACCUACUGUACCACAAGGAAACUCCUCUACAGGCUAUUUUUGAUGCUAUUUGGUUACUGUGGUCUGUGGCUUUCUUACUCUAGCACUCACUUUACCUCAAAUUCUCCACUGUUUCUUAGCUCAGCAAAACUUUUUUUUUUUGGUCUUUUUUUAGGGGUGCAUCUGCAGCAAUAUGGAAAUUCCCAGGUUAGGGGUUGAACUGAAGCUGUAGCUACUGGCCUAAACUACAGCCACAGCAACACGGGAUCCAAGCCGAAUCUGCGACCUACACCAAAGCUGAUGGCAAUGCCAGAUCCUUAACCCACUGAGCGAGGCCAGGAAUCUAACCUACGUCCUCAUGGAUAUUAGUGAGAUUCGUUUCCACUGAGCCAUACUGGGAAUUCCUCAUGAUCCAUUUGAUCUUGAAGCUCAGGCCAAUUUCA